Molecule: transfer-messenger RNA, 401 nt
Filed under: human gut metagenome
Rfam family: transfer-messenger RNA
About the family: Bacterial tmRNA, also known as 10Sa RNA or SsrA, is named for its dual tRNA and mRNA-like properties. Its role is to liberate the mRNA from a stalled ribosome.
Source: RNAcentral
GACUGGAUUUGACAGCGGGCAGAAGGCGUAUGUAAGCAUGCAGUGCGUCGUGAGCGCUCACUAUAAUCUGAGCUUUCAAAAAUUUAAUUGGCGAAAACAAAUACGCUCUCGCUGCUUGAUCGAAGCAUAGUAAAUCGAGCUUUAUCCGGGCACAAGGUGUCCGGACGAGACAUCGCUCCGAAGCCGUUGUUCCGAGGCUCAUGGGUUAAGCGGUGCACGUAAAUCGGGAAUAGCCGGCGACAGUCCCGCGGCGUCGGCGAAACUUUAGCCGGGAAUAAGGCAACGACCGUAUACGACAGCUUCCUGCGUGGCCGUUGCACGAAAACCUCCAGCGAAGCUAAGCAUGUAGAAAGCAUAGGUUUUCCCCGUUUGGACGAGAGUUCGAUUCUCUCCUGGUCCAC